AUUGAACGCUGGCGGCAUGCCUUACACAUGCAAGUCGAACGGCAGCAUGGAAGAGCUUGCUCUUCUGAUGGCGAGUGGCGAACGGGUGAGUAAAGCAUCGGAACGUACCGUGUAGUGGGGGAUAACGUAGCGAAAGUUACGCUAAUACCGCAUACGCACUGAGGUGGAAAGCAGGGGAUCGCAAGACCUUGCGCUAUACGAGCGGCCGAUGUCAGAUUAGCUAGUUGGUAGGGUAAAGGCCUACCAAGGCGACGAUCUGUAGCGGGUCUGAGAGGAUGAUCCGCCACACUGGGACUGAGACACGGCCCAGACUCCUACGGGAGGCAGCAGUGGGGGAAUUUUGGGACAAUGGGCGAAAGCCUGAUCCAGCCAUGCCGCGUGAGUGAAGAAGGCC
This 394-nucleotide ribosomal RNA is filed under the name uncultured bacterium. Its description in RNAcentral is "bacterial SSU rRNA". It matches the Rfam family "Bacterial small subunit ribosomal RNA", at positions 30 to 416 of the family's 1533-position model. The record is from RNAcentral.